GACGAACGCUGGCGGCGUGCUUAACACAUGCAAGUCGAACGGAAAGGCCCUGCUUGCAGGGUACUCGAGUGGCGAACGGGUGAGUAACACGUGGGUGAUCUGCCCUGCACUUCGGGAUAAGCCUGGGAAACUGGGUCUAAUACCGGAUAGGAGCCAUUUUUAGUGUGAUGGUUGGAAAGUUUUUUCGGUGUAGGAUGAGCUCGCGGCCUAUCAGCUUGUUGGUGGGGUAAUGGCCUACCAAGGCGGCGACGGGUAGCCGGCCUGAGAGGGUGGACGGCCACAUUGGGACUGAGAUACGGCCCAGACUCCUACGGGAGGCAGCAGUGGGGAAUAUUGCACAAUGGGCGCAAGCCUGAUGCAGCGACGCCGCGUGGGGGAUGACGGCCUUCAGGUUGUAAACUCCUUUCGCUAGGGACGAAGCUUUUGUGACGGUACCUAGAUAAGAAGCACCGGCUAACUACGUG
RNAcentral lists this ribosomal RNA (464 nucleotides) under uncultured bacterium. RNAcentral's name for it is "partial 16S ribosomal RNA". It matches the Rfam family "Bacterial small subunit ribosomal RNA", at positions 28 to 507 of the family's 1533-position model. The record is from RNAcentral.